UACCAGCACCCCGAGUGUUCUGGCCGUUUAUUGGGCCUAAAGCAUCCGUAGCCGGUUCUACAAGUCUUCCGUUAAAUCCAACUGCUUAACAGGUGGGCUGCGGAAGAUACUAUAGAGCUAGGAGGCGGGAGAGGCAAGCGGUACUCGAUGGGUAGGGGUAAAAUCCGUUGAUCCAUUGAAGACCACCAGUGGCGAAGGCGGCUUGCCAGAACGCGCUCGACGGUGAGGGAUGAAAGCUGGGGGAGCAAACCGG
Molecule: ribosomal RNA, 253 nt
Filed under: uncultured bacterium
Lineage: Bacteria
Description: partial 16S ribosomal RNA
Rfam family: Archaeal small subunit ribosomal RNA
Source: RNAcentral